ACGAAGCAUGAUUGUAAGAUUAUGUGGACAAUAUAGAAGUGAGAAUGACGGCAUGAGUAGCGAAAAGUGUGCGAAAAACACACUCACCGAAAACCCAAGGAUUCCUGGGGAAGGUUCAUCCACCCAGGGUUAGGCGGGACCUAAGGCGAGGCCGAAAGGCGUAGUCGAUGGACAGCGGGUAGACAAUCCCGCCCUUCGGUAGCUCGUUUGACAGAAGUGGUGACGCAGAAAGCUAUGCACGCCGGGUGAUGGAAAUCCCGGUACAAAGUCGUAGGCUGAAAAAAGAGGCAAAUCCCUUUUUUCUAAAGGCCGAGAACUGACGUGGAAGAAUCUGAUUCGAGAAGGUGCAAAUGCUCGGCUGCCGAGAAAAGCCACUAUGGAGAACUAUCGAACCCGUACUCAAAACCGACACAGGUGGGUUGGCUUAGAAGGCUAAGGUGAACGGGAUAACCAUUGUUAAGGAACUCUGCAAGUUGACUCCGUAACUUCGGGAGAAGGAGUGGCUGGAGAUGUCAAUACUAUACGUAAUAAGCAUCUUUGGUUCGCAGAAACCAGGCUCAGGCGACUGUUUAACUAAAACACAGGACUCUGCUCAAGGCGCAAGCCGAAGUAUAGGGUCUGACACCUGCCCGGUGCUGGAAGGUUAAAGGGAGAAGUUAGACGCAAGUCGAAGCCUUGAACUGAAGCCCCAGUAAACGGCGGCCGUAACUAUAACGGUCCUAAGGUAGCGAAAUUCCUUGUCGGGUAAGUUCCGACCUGCACGAAAGGUGUAACGAUCUGAGCGCUGUCUCGACAGUGGACCCGGUGAAAUUGUGGUACUGGUAAAGACGCCAGUUACCCGCAGUAGGACGGAAAGACCCCGUGGAGCUUUACUGUAACUUGAUAUUGAAUUUCGGUAUAGUAUGUAUAGGAUAGGUGGGAGUCAGUGAAAUAAGGACGUCAGUCUUUAUGGAGACACCGUUGGAAUACCACCCUUAUUGUGCUGGGAUUCUAACCGCAAGCAUUGAAGCAUGAUGCGGGACAUUGUCAGGCGGGCAGUUUGACUGGGGCGGUCGCCUCCCAAAGAGUAACGGAGGCGCGCGAAGGUCACCUCAGUGUGAAUGGAAAACACACAAAGAGCGUAAGGGUAUAAGGUGGCUUAACUGUGAGACUGACAGGUCGAUCAGAAACGAAAGUUGGUCCUAGUGAUCCGGUGGUCCUGAGUGGAAAGGCCAUCGCUCAUCGGAUAAAAGCUACCCCGGGGAUAACAGGCUGAUGCCGCCCGAGAGUUCCUAUCGACGGCGGCGUUUGGCACCUCGAUGUCGGCUCAUCGCAUC
Molecule: ribosomal RNA, 1316 nt
Filed under: human gut metagenome
Description: bacterial LSU rRNA
Rfam family: Bacterial large subunit ribosomal RNA
Source: RNAcentral